AUUGAACGCUGGCGGCAUGCCUUACACAUGCAAGUCGAACGGCAGCACGGGAGCAAUCCUGGUGGCGAGUGGCGAACGGGUGAAUAAUAUAUCGGAACGUGCCCAGUCGUGGGGGAUAACGUAGCGAAAGCUACGCUAAUACCGCAUACGAUCUAUGGAUGAAAGCGGGGGAUCGCAAGACCUCGCGCGAUUGGAGCGGCCGAUAUCAGAUUAGGUAGUUGGUGAGGUAAAGGCUCACCAAGCCGACGAUCUGUAGCUGGUCUGAGAGGACGACCAGCCACACUGGGACUGAGACACGGCCCAGACUCCUACGGGAGGCAGCGGUGGGGAAUUUUGGACAAUGGGCGCAAGCCUGAUCCAGCAAUGCCGCGUGCAGGAUGAAGGCCUUCGGGUUGUAAACUGCUUUUGUACGGAACGAAACGGUGAGCUCUAAUACAGUUUGCUAAUGACGGUACCGUAAGAAUAAGCACCGGCUAACUACGUGCCAGCCGCCGCGGUAA
This 500-nucleotide ribosomal RNA is filed under the name uncultured bacterium. RNAcentral describes it as "partial 16S ribosomal RNA". It matches the Rfam family "Bacterial small subunit ribosomal RNA", at positions 30 to 523 of the family's 1533-position model. The record is from RNAcentral.